AGCUGGAAGUGGGCACAUGAACUACAU
Molecule: non-coding RNA, 27 nt
Filed under: Cricetulus griseus (Chinese hamster)
Lineage: Eukaryota; Metazoa; Chordata; Mammalia; Rodentia; Cricetidae
Source: RNAcentral